GCUGGUGUGGCAUAGUGGUUUGAGUGCUGGACUAAGACUCUGGAGAUCAGAGUUCGAUUUCCGCUCAACCA
Molecule: non-coding RNA, 71 nt
Organism: Phrynosoma platyrhinos (Desert horned lizard)
Lineage: Eukaryota; Metazoa; Chordata; Lepidosauria; Squamata; Phrynosomatidae
Source: the annotation of a GenBank genome assembly